This 437-nucleotide long non-coding RNA is filed under the name Citrus maxima (pomelo). RNAcentral describes it as "long non-coding RNA (CMAX_LNC004240)". The record is from RNAcentral. Lineage: Eukaryota; Viridiplantae; Streptophyta; Magnoliopsida; Sapindales; Rutaceae.
GAAUGGCCUGCAUGUUUUGGACGAUAGAACGGGAAGAGGGGGAGUCGUGCCCUCUAUACGGGCACGAGCAGGAAAAUAAAAAUGGAAGACCGAAUACAUAUACAUGACGGAACGACAUAUUAAAAAAUACGUGAUCUGAUUUGAUAGGCUGCCCGCAAAAAGAGUUUACCGACCGCAUAACAAUUCAUUCUUGUGUGUAGCGCGUAGGGCCAUGUCUCCCGAACGAUCAUAGUACGGCCGCUCAUCUAAUAUCAAAUCAAUCGGUAGAUCUCACUUCCCUUCCCCCAUACCAUAGCCGGAAGGGAUAGCGUAUCUACAGAAGAGAGAGUACGGGGCCUUGGCCUUACCCUUAAUUUAGUUUAGACGCGGCUCGAAUGCCUUUACGCUAUAGGCUAUGUUAAGCAUGCUUCUUUGACAGAAAACAAACUCUUUUUCCA